RNAcentral lists this ribosomal RNA (254 nucleotides) under uncultured bacterium. RNAcentral's name for it is "partial 16S ribosomal RNA". It matches the Rfam family "Bacterial small subunit ribosomal RNA", at positions 524 to 776 of the family's 1533-position model. The record is from RNAcentral.
UACGUAGGGGGCGAGCGUUGUCCGGAUUCAUUGGGCGUAAAGAGCUCGUAGGCGGUUUGAUAAGUCGGGUGUGAAAUCUCCAGGCUCAACCUGGAGAGGUCACUCGAGACUGUUAUGACUAGAGUCCGGUAGGGGACCACGGAAUUCCUGGUGUAGCGGUGAAAUGCGCAGAUAUCAGGAGGAACACCAGUGGCGAAGGCGGUGGUCUGGGCAUUAACUGACGCUGAGGAGCGAAAGCAUGGGGAGCGAACAGG